GCACAAGAAGAGCGUUGUUGUUGUUGGGAUUAUAUUAAGACUGGUAAAGAGUUUCCAGUGGGUUUCAGAGGAUACAGGAUACAGACAGUAGAACACUAACCAAUGUUGUCACAUGGAGGCUUACAAGGUCUUCAGCAACCAGAACCCAGGAGGCCAAGAGCAAAGGAUCCCAAAAUAUCUGAGAGAUGCAAGUCGCCUGGCAGAAACUCUCCACCAUGAAGCGUCUCUGGAGUCCCCACAUAAAGGCCCCUCCGCCUGACCCCUCUCUGCAACACCACCAAGGUCAUCCCCACAGCCAGGCCCGGUCAAACCGAGGCAGGUGCUGCCGUUCCCCGGUAGGUGAACCACCCCUCCCAACCCACAGAGAGAUUUAUAACACCCCCAGCCAAGAACUACAAACCAAAAACCCGUCACUCUGUUUUCAGGAAGGCUGUGACUUUGGACACGUACUUCAAAAUCAAUUUACUGUUGAAUUAGUAAAACACUUUAAAAAUGACUAUUGGUGUUAAGCUCAUUCUUAGUUAUAGUGAACUGGACCGAAACAUUAGCAGCUCUCCACAAAGCUCACCUUAGAAAUCUAACAAAGUUUCCAAACCAACUUUGUUUUAGCCAAACGGUGACAGCUGCAGCAGGACGUUCCUGCAGGCAUAGCAACAGGUUGCUAUAGCAACCGACAGGAGAAACGUAUCAGGGUUUUGUUUUUCAGUGAAUGCCGACUCAACUAGUAGCCUUCCCAAUAUCAGAGAUUUGAACAGAUUCUUCAGUAUGUCAGCCAUUUUGGCUGAUGUACUGAAUUUAAAGAAUCACAUUUAUAAGUUACAAACAGAAUCAUGAGUUUUCUGUGCAAGUCUAUCAAGACUUGACUUUUAACAUGUCUAACAUGUUUAAAAGUAAAAUCCUGAUUUUUAAACAUGUUUAAGCUUAUUUCCAUGAACCAGAUGAAAAGAAACGGCAGCAGUACAUGGAUACGGUGCACAUACAUACAGGAACCUUCGUCUUUUAAACGUUACUUUACUGGACCUCAGCAGUUUCUCUGAGAUUUCAAGGCUCUUGAUAUUUUCCAUAACUACUUUCCUUGGAGUUACUUUAGCAGAGGACUGGGCAGUGGGCUGAAUGCAGGGUAUAAUCACCUGGUACCUUUCUGAAAAGUGUUCAAGACUUUAAAGAAGUAAAGUUCCUUUACUUCUCAGAAACUACGGGGAUUAAAGCCACUUUCAGAAGGCUACAUUUCAGGAGACUGCGGCUCCUGAAAUGUACAUUUUACUUUCCCAGAUCUUACACCAUACUUUCCAGUACUUUUUGGAACUUGCAGGUUUCCUUCUCAGAGUUUUCUCUUUACAUUCAAUAAAUCUCUGAGGCAUUUUCCAUAACUUACAGGUUACUUUCUCAAACCUACAAGUUGAUUUCUCAGAAUUUAAAGCUUGCAUUCUGAUAUCCCAAAACUUAUAUGGCACUUUUCCAGAAAGUACAGGUUGCUUUCCUGAGGUUACUGGGUAUUCUACGAAAACGUUUGGGAUUUUCUUGCUCAGGUUUUCCAGAGCUUGUGGGAUUGACAGGUUGCCUGUCUGGAAGCUUUAGUUUGGUACCAUACCUGUUACACCAGUAUGAAAGGACAGGUGUGAAUCUCUGGCCACCCUGGGAAAGUUUUCUGGCUCCGUCUCUGUUCAUGACUCCCAGUCCUGGAUUUGCUGCCGGCACCGGCACCACUCUCCCUCCAGAACCCGGUAUGCUGCCUUGGUUCUAGGUUGUGUGUUUCCGUUUUGGUUCAGGAAGUUCUGGUUUUGUUAUUGGCAGCAGAAUUGUUGCUGAUUGAACAGAACUUUCUUCGUUGGUUAUUACACUGUUGGUUAUAUAACUUAUCAUUUUAAUCAGUUACAUUCGUGCUGAGGAAUAUUUAAGAACAAGCGAGGCAUUGAUGAAUCGAGAAUUUUUCAGUGAUGGACUAGAAGAUAUGAAAAGUCCUUUAUUAUCUUCAGUCACAUAUUUAUCUCUGGAUCAUUGUCUAAAAUAUUCUGUCACUGGUAAAAAAUAAUAAAUCAAAGCUCUACAGUUGCCUGGCUGUUGCCUGCCUAUGACGUUCUGCUCGAUUCUCAUCUCCCUUCAGAGAGAUGAGAAUCUCUUCAACUGGGAUUUCUCCCAUUGAGUUGGAUUUCCCAGGCAUCAGCUAACAGAAGAAGUUGUGAAAAAUGGCUGUUUUAUAACUGCAGUUUCCUGUGCAGGUCCCUGCAUCCCUUAGUAUGCGGUUGGUUGUAAAGGUUUACCUUAUGGGGAUGUUUCCAGCAGAUGUCCACAUUGCACAUGCAAGAGUAUGUUGGGUACAACAUGAAACUGCUGCUGCGCACGUCAUGCAACAGGUUGUUGCUAGGUAUCCACAGACUUCAACAGCUGCUUCUUCUGCACCGAUCAAUCAAAAGAUCUUGUAAUAAUUCCUGUGACAUACACGGCCCGCCUACCUCCAUGUACGG
Xiphophorus couchianus (Monterrey platyfish) is the source of this 2465-nucleotide long non-coding RNA. RefSeq lists it as uncharacterized. NCBI's taxonomy places the organism in Eukaryota, Metazoa, Chordata, Actinopteri, Cyprinodontiformes, Poeciliidae. The record is from RefSeq and is a predicted model, not a curated record. The transcript is spliced from 3 exons.